GAGUUUGAUCCUGGCUCAGGACGAACGCUGGCGGCGUGCUUAACACAUGCAAGUCGAGCGGUAAGGCCUUUCGGGGUACACGAGCGGCGAACGGGUGASUAACACGUGGGUGAUCUGCCCUGCACUCUGGGAUAAGCUUGGGAAACUGGGUCUAAUACCGGAUAUGACUACAGCAUGCAUGUGUUGUGGUGGAAAGAUUUAUCGGUGCAGGAUGGGCCCGCGGCCUAUCAGCUUGUUGGUGGGGUAAUGGCCUACCAAGGCGACGACGGGUAGCCGACCUGAGAGGGUGACCGGCCACACUGGGACUGAGACACGGCCCAGACUCCUACGGGAGGCAGCAGUGGGGAAUAUUGCACAAUGGGCGGAAGCCUGAUGCAGCGACGCCGCGUGAGGGAUGAAGGCCUUCGGGUUGUAAACCUCUUUCAGCAGGGACGAAGCGUGAGUGACGGUACCUGCAGAAGAAGCACCGGCUAACUACGUGCCAGCAGCCGCGGUAAUACGUAGGGUGCGAGCGUUGUCCGGAAUUACUGGGCGUAAAGAGUUCGUAGGCGGUUUGUCGCGUCGUUUGUGAAAACCCNGGGGCUCAACUUCGGGCUUGCAGGCGAUACGGGCAGACUUGAGUGUUUCAGGGGAGACUGGAAUUCCUGGUGUAGCGGUGAAAUGCGCAGAUAUCAGGAGGAACACCGGUGGCGAAGGCGGGUCUCUGGGAAACAACUGACGCUGAGGAACGAAAGCGUGGGUAGCAAACAGGAUUAGAUA
Molecule: ribosomal RNA, 759 nt
Filed under: Rhodococcus sp. Eur1 9.57
Lineage: Bacteria; Bacillati; Actinomycetota; Actinomycetes; Mycobacteriales; Nocardiaceae
Description: bacterial SSU rRNA
Rfam family: Bacterial small subunit ribosomal RNA
Source: RNAcentral